This 229-nucleotide ribosomal RNA is filed under the name uncultured bacterium. RNAcentral describes it as "partial 16S ribosomal RNA". It matches the Rfam family "Bacterial small subunit ribosomal RNA", at positions 104 to 334 of the family's 1533-position model. The record is from RNAcentral.
CGGGGUGAGUAAUGUAUGGGGAUCUGCCUGAUGGCGGGGGAUAACUACUGGAAACGGUAGCUAAUACCGCAUAACGUCGCAAGACCAAAGAGGGGGACCUUCGGGCCUCUUGCCAUCGGAUGUGCCCAGAUGGGAUUAGCUAGUAGGUGGGGUAACGGCUCACCUAGGCGACGAUCCCUAGCUGGUCUGAGAGGAUGACCAGCCACACUGGAACUGAGACACGGCCCAG